GACGAACGCUGGCGGCGUGCUUAACACAUGCAAGUCGAACGGAAAGGCCCUGCUUUUGUGGGGUGCUCGAGUGGCGAACGGGUGAGUAACACGUGAGUAACCUGCCCUUGACUUUGGGAUAACUUCAGGAGACUGGGGCGAAUACCGGAUAGGAGCUCCUGCUGCAUGGUGGGGGUUGGAAAGUUUCGGCGGUGGGGGAUGGACUCGCGGCUUAUCAGCUUGUUGGUGGGGUAGUGGCUUACCAAGGCUUUGACGGGUAGCCGGCCUGAGAGGGUGACCGGCCACAUUGGGACUGAGAUACGGCCCAGACUCCUACGGGAGGCAGCAGUGGGGAAUUUUGCACAAUGGGCGGAAGCCCGAUGCAGCAACGCCGCGUGCGGGAUGACGGCCUUCGGGUUGUAAACCGCUUUCGCCUGUGACGAAGCGUGAGUGACGGUAAUGGGUAAAGAAGCACCGGCUAACUACGUG
RNAcentral lists this ribosomal RNA (468 nucleotides) under uncultured bacterium. RNAcentral describes it as "partial 16S ribosomal RNA". It matches the Rfam family "Bacterial small subunit ribosomal RNA", at positions 28 to 507 of the family's 1533-position model. The record is from RNAcentral.